This 309-nucleotide ribosomal RNA is filed under the name uncultured Hyphomicrobiales bacterium. RNAcentral describes it as "bacterial SSU rRNA". It matches the Rfam family "Bacterial small subunit ribosomal RNA", at positions 21 to 358 of the family's 1533-position model. Lineage: Bacteria; Pseudomonadati; Pseudomonadota; Alphaproteobacteria; Hyphomicrobiales. The record is from RNAcentral.
GGCUCAGAACGAACGCUGGCGGCAGGUCUAACACAUGCAAGUCGAGCGCCGUAGCAAUACGGAGCGGCAGACGGGAGAGUAACACGUGGGUACGUGCCCUUCAGUUCGGAACAACCCAGGGAAACUUGGGCUAAUACCGGAUACGUCCGUAGGGAGAAAGAUUUAUCGCUGAAGGAUCGGCCCGCGUCUGAUUAGCUAGUUGGUGGGGUAACGGCCCACCAAGGCGACGAUCAGUAGCUGGUCUGAGAGGAUGAUCAGCCUCACUGGGACUGAGACACGGCCCAGACUCCUACGGGAGGCAGCAGUGGG